GACGAACGCUGCGGCGUGCUUAACACAUGCAAGUCGAGCGGUAAGGCCCUUUCGGGGGUACACGAGCGGCGAACGGGUGAGUAACACGUGGGUGACCUGCCCUUAGCUCUGGGAUAAGCCUGGGAAACUGGGUCUAAUACCGGGAUAUGACUCCAUAACGCAUGUUGUGGGGUGGAAAGCCUUGUGCGGCUAGGGAUGGGCCCGCGGCCUAUCAGCUUGUUGGUGGGGUGAUGGCCACCAAGGCGACGGACGGGUAGCCGGCCUGAGAGGCCGACCGGCCACACUGGGACUGAGACACGGCCCAGACUCCUACGGGAGGCAGCAGUGGGGAAUCUUGCGCGAAUGGGCGAAGGCC
RNAcentral lists this ribosomal RNA (355 nucleotides) under uncultured bacterium. Its description in RNAcentral is "bacterial SSU rRNA". It matches the Rfam family "Bacterial small subunit ribosomal RNA", at positions 28 to 383 of the family's 1533-position model. The record is from RNAcentral.